This 305-nucleotide ribosomal RNA is filed under the name uncultured bacterium. RNAcentral describes it as "bacterial SSU rRNA". It matches the Rfam family "Bacterial small subunit ribosomal RNA", at positions 335 to 652 of the family's 1533-position model. The record is from RNAcentral.
UGCCUACGGGAGGCAGCAGUGGGGAAUCUUGCACAAUGGGCGAAAGCCUGAUGCAGCGACGCCGCGUGCGGGAUGAAGGCCUUCGGGUUGUAAACCGCUUUCAGCAGGGAUGAGGCCGCAAGGUGACAGUACCUGCAGAAGAAGCCCCGGCUAACUACGUGCCAGCAGCCGCGGUAAUACGUAGGGGGCAAGCGUUAUCCGGAUUCAUUGGGCGUAAAGCGCGCGUAGGCGGUCUGUUAGGUCGGAAGUCAAAUCCGGGGGCUCAACCUCCGUUCGCUUCCGAUACCGGCAGACUUGAGUUUGGG